RNAcentral lists this ribosomal RNA (505 nucleotides) under uncultured bacterium. Its description in RNAcentral is "partial 16S ribosomal RNA". It matches the Rfam family "Bacterial small subunit ribosomal RNA", at positions 28 to 507 of the family's 1533-position model. The record is from RNAcentral.
GACGAACGCUGGCGGCGUGCCUAAUACAUGCAAGUAGAACGCACAGAUUAUACCGUAUCUUGCUAAACCAUAAACUGUGAGUUGCGAACGGGUGAGUAACGCGUAGGUAACCUGCCUGGUAGCGGGAGAUAACUAUUGGAAACGAUAGCUAAUACCGCAUAAUAGUGAUUAUUGCAUGAUAAUUGAUUGAAAGAGGCUAUUGCAUCACUACCGGCUGGACCUGCGUUGUAUUAGCUAGUAGGUGAGGUAACGGCCCACCUAUGCGAAGAUACAGAGCCGAGCUGGGAAGGUGAUCCGCCACACUGGGAACGAGACCAGGCUCAGGCUCCCUCGGGAGGCAGCAGGAGGGAAUUUUCGGCAAUGGACGGAAGUCUGAACGCGCACAGCCGGGUGAGUGAAGGAGGGUUUCGGAUCGUAAAGCUCUGUUGUAAGAGAAGAAAGGGUGUGAGAGUGGAAAGUUCACGCUGUGACGGUAUCUUAACAGAAAGGGACGGCUAACUACGUG